AUGAACGCUAGCGACAGGCCUAACACAUGCAAGUCGAGGGGCAGCACAAGGAGCAAUCUGAGGUGGCGACCGGCGCACGGGUGAGUAACACGUAUGCAACCUGCCUGUAAGCGGGGAAUAACCCGUUGAAAGACGGACUAAUACCGCAUAAUACUAAAUUACUGCAUGGUAAUUUAUUUAAACAUUUAUGGCUUACAGAUGGGCAUGCGCAUGAUUAGCUAGUUGGAGAGGUAACGGCUCCCCAAGGCAACGAUCAUUAGGGGUUCUGAGAGGAAGGUCCCCCACACUGGUACUGAGACACGGACCAGACUCCUACGGGAGGCAGCAGUGAGGAAUAUUGGUCAAUGGACGAGAGUCUGAACCAGCCAAGUCGCGUGCAGGAAGAAUGUCCUAUGGAUUGUAAACUGCCUUUGCAGGGGAAUAAAGUGCAUCACGUGUGAUGUUUUGUAUGUACUCUGCGAAUAAGGAUCGGCUAACUCCGUGCCAGCAGCAGC
Molecule: ribosomal RNA, 494 nt
Filed under: uncultured bacterium
Lineage: Bacteria
Description: bacterial SSU rRNA
Rfam family: Bacterial small subunit ribosomal RNA
Source: RNAcentral